This 400-nucleotide ribosomal RNA is filed under the name uncultured bacterium. RNAcentral's name for it is "bacterial SSU rRNA". It matches the Rfam family "Bacterial small subunit ribosomal RNA", at positions 355 to 748 of the family's 1533-position model. The record is from RNAcentral.
UAGGGAAUCUUCCGCAAUGGACGAAAGUCUGACGGAGCAACGCCGCGUGAGUGACGAAGGUCUUCGGAUCGUAAAGCUCUGUUGCCAAGGAAGAAAGACACGGUGAGGGAAUGCACCGUGCGUGACGGUACUUGAGAAGAAAGCCCCGGCUAACUACGUGCCAGCAGCCGCGGUAAUACGUAGGGGGCAAGCGUUGUCCGGAAUUAUUGGGCGUAAAGCGCGCGCAGGCGGUGUGUUAAGUCUGAUGUGAAAGGCAGUGGCUCAACCAUUGUAAGCAUUGGAAACUGACAGACUAGAGUGCAGCAGAGGAAAGUGGAAUUCCACGUGUAGCGGUGAAAUGCGUAGAGAUGUGGAGGAACACCAGUGGCGAAGGCGACUUUCUGGGCUGUAACUGACGCUG